RNAcentral lists this ribosomal RNA (428 nucleotides) under uncultured archaeon. RNAcentral's name for it is "bacterial SSU rRNA". It matches the Rfam family "Archaeal small subunit ribosomal RNA", at positions 474 to 903 of the family's 1478-position model. The record is from RNAcentral.
AACCAGCUCUUCAAGUGGUCGGGAUAAUUAUUGGGCUUAAAGUGUCCGUAGCCGGUUUAGUAAGUUCCUGGUAAAAUCGGGUAGCUUAACUAUCUGCAUGCUAGGAAUACUGCUAUACUAGAGGGCGGGAGAGGUCUGAGGUACUACAGGGGUAGGGGUGAAAUCUUAUAAUCCUUGUAGGACCACCAGUGGCGAAGGCGUCAGACUGGAACGCGCCUGACGGUGAGGGACGAAAGCCAGGGGAGCGAACCGGAUUAGAUACCCGGGUAGUCCUGGCCGUAAACGAUGCAUACUAGGUGAUGGCACGGCCAUGAGCCAUGUCAGUGCCGUAGGGAGACCGUUAAGUGUGCCGCCUGGGAAGUACGGUCGCAAGGCUAAAACUUAAAGGAAUUGGCGGGGAGCACCACAAGGGGUGAAGCCUGCGGUUU